Molecule: ribosomal RNA, 484 nt
Filed under: uncultured bacterium
Lineage: Bacteria
Description: partial 16S ribosomal RNA
Rfam family: Bacterial small subunit ribosomal RNA
Source: RNAcentral
AUUGAACGCUGGCGGCAUGCUUUACACAUGCAAGUCGAACGGCAGCACGGGCUUCGGCCUGGUGGCGAGUGGCGAACGGGUGAGUAAUAUAUCGGAACGUACCCAGAAGUGGGGGAUAACGUAGCGAAAGUUACGCUAAUACCGCAUACGAUCUAUGGAUGAAAGCAGGGGACCGCAAGGCCUUGUGCUCCUGGAGCGGCCGAUAUCUGAUUAGCUAGUUGGUGAGGUAAAGGCUCACCAAGGCGACGAUCAGUAGCUGGUCUGAGAGGACGACCAGCCACACUGGAACUGAGACACGGUCCAGACUCCUACGGGAGGCAGCAGUGGGGAAUUUUGGACAAUGGGCGCAAGCCUGAUCCAGCAAUGCCGCGUGAGUGAAGAAGGCCUACGGGUUGUAAAGCUCUUUUGUCAGGGAAGAAACGGUAGAGGCUAAUAUCCUUUGCUAAUGACGGUACCUGAAGAAUAAGCACCGGCUAACUACGUG